Molecule: ribosomal RNA, 459 nt
Filed under: uncultured bacterium
Lineage: Bacteria
Description: partial 16S ribosomal RNA
Rfam family: Bacterial small subunit ribosomal RNA
Source: RNAcentral
CCUACGGGUGGCUGCAGUGAGGAAUAUUGGUCAAUGGGCGUAAGCCUGAACCAGCCAAGUCGCGUGAGGGAUGAAGGUUCUAUGGAUCGUAAACUUCUUUUAUAAGGGAAUAAAGUGCGGGACGUGUCCCGUUUUGUAUGUAUCUUAUGAAUAAGGAUCGGCUAACUCCGUGCCAGCAGCCGCGGUAAUACGGAGGAUUCGAGCGUUAUCCGGAUUUAUUGGGUUUAAAGGGUGCGUAGGCGGUUUUUUAUGUUAUGGGUUAAACGUCGGGGCUUCACCUGGAAUUUCCAUUAAUACUGUAAGACUAGAGAUCAGAUGAGGUAGGCGGAAUAAGUUAAGUAGCGGUGAAAUGCUUAGAUAUAACUUAGAACUCCGAUAGCGAAGGCAGCUUACCAGACUGCGACUGACGCUGAGGCACGAGAGCGUGGGUAGCGAACAGGAUUAGAUACCCGAGUAGUC